Molecule: transfer RNA, 77 nt
Filed under: Shewanella putrefaciens
Lineage: Bacteria; Pseudomonadati; Pseudomonadota; Gammaproteobacteria; Alteromonadales; Shewanellaceae
Description: tRNA-Met
Source: RNAcentral
GAAAAAUUAAGGAAUGAUAAACCAGUUAACGUCUAAGAACACACUGGAUUCAACCUCGGCAGCUUUGACAGCAGCUC